CACUGGGACAGGCUGUCUCACUCUUCCGCUAUUUCCUGUAUGAGCAAGAACUGAAAUUGGCCAGAUUCAUGCCCUACGUGGCGACCAACCAUAAUGCCUUCCCUGUCGGCUGCUACGCCUUCCCUGUGGUGUUGAAAUCCACGCUCCUGGGACUAGCCUUCAUCCAGUAGCUGAUGGAAGCAGAAGCAGAGAGUCACAGCUAAGCACUGAGCUGAACUCCUGGAAUCCAGUUGUAGAGAGGGAAGAGUGAUAAGAAAAGGGAUCAAGACCAUGCUGGGGAAACCCACACAAAUAGCUGACUUGAGCAAGUGGGAGCUCAUAGAACCCAGUUUGACAGCUAGGGGAAGCAGCCUAAGACCAAACCAGCCCCUUGAACAUGGGUGUCAGCUG
Molecule: long non-coding RNA, 390 nt
Filed under: Cricetulus griseus (Chinese hamster)
Lineage: Eukaryota; Metazoa; Chordata; Mammalia; Rodentia; Cricetidae
Description: lncRNA (ENSCGRG00015034711.1)
Source: RNAcentral